UUGUUGCUGCCCAUAUAAUUUUUUUUAAAGAAUAUUCUGCUUCUUUUCAUGCCCAAGAAUUUGACCACGACUUGCCCAUUGUUUGACCCACAUGCAUGAUUCUUAUCUACUGAGUUAAUUAUGAUUUUGCUUGAUAGAUUUCAUCUCCACUGUUUUAUUUCUUUUAGUUUAAAUGAUUAUGAAUGGAGUUAACCCUAUCUUGAUUUUGGUAAAUUUGAUUAAGUCUAAAUUCAAGAGGACACUUAAUACAAUUGCAUGCUUAAAAUAUGUUCAUGACUAUUAAGGUGGUUACUGAAACUUAUUUUUGACACUUGAUUGUUUUUCCUAAGUCCUCCAAAAUUAAAAUUUCGUUUAAUAAU
RNAcentral lists this long non-coding RNA (359 nucleotides) under Gossypium barbadense (sea-island cotton). RNAcentral's name for it is "long non-coding RNA (GBAR_LNC007960)". The record is from RNAcentral. Lineage: Eukaryota; Viridiplantae; Streptophyta; Magnoliopsida; Malvales; Malvaceae.